This 776-nucleotide ribosomal RNA is filed under the name uncultured Neocallimastigales. RNAcentral's name for it is "partial large subunit ribosomal RNA". It matches the Rfam family "Eukaryotic large subunit ribosomal RNA", at positions 20 to 616 of the family's 3401-position model. The record is from RNAcentral. Lineage: Eukaryota; Fungi; Neocallimastigomycota; Neocallimastigomycetes; Neocallimastigales.
UACUAGAGUAGCACUCGCAUAUCAAUAAGCGGAGGAAAAGAAACUAACAAGGAUUCCCCUAGUAACGGCGAGUGAAGCGGGAAGAGCUCAAAUUUGAAAUCUUAAAGGGUUUCCCUUUACGAAUUGUAGUUUAAAGAAGUGUUUUCUGUUGAGGUUUUGGUAAAAGUUCUUUGGAAUAGGACAUCAUAGAGGGUGAGAAUCCCGUAUUUGACCUUUACUUUCAACUUUGUGAUACACUUUCAAAGAGUCGGAUUGUUUGGGAAUGCAGUCCAAAAUGGGUGGUAAAUUUCAUCUAAAGCUAAAUAUUGGCGAGAGACCGAUAGCGAACAAGUACCGUGAGGGAAAGAUGAAAAGAACUUUGAAAAGAGAGUUAAACAGUACGUGAGAUUGUCAAAAGGGAAGCGUUUGACACCAGUGUUGUUUUUCUGAAAAUCAAUUAAAGAACUGUUUAUGCUAAGUCUGUUUAGACUUUAUCAGCUAAUCUGUUUAGUUUUAGGCUUUUCUUUAAUGCACUUUUCAGUUAACAAGUCAACAUCAAUUUCUUUUGCUGUAAAAAAGCUUGAGGAAGGUGGCUUGAGAUUCGUCUUAAGUGUUUAUAGCCUCUUGCCUAUGCAGUCGGAGAGAUUGAGGUCUGCAGCGUAGAUCCUUCGGGGCUAAAUGCAUUUGUGCUAAGUUAUAGCAUUUUAUAGACAACUUGUUGACUAUGAUUUGUCUUGUAGCUUACUCGCUUAUGUUAUUUUACCUACGCUUAGGAUGUUGAGCGCAUGUCUCUCUCU